Falco peregrinus (peregrine falcon) is the source of this 554-nucleotide long non-coding RNA. RefSeq lists it as uncharacterized. The record is from RefSeq and is a predicted model, not a curated record. The transcript is spliced from 4 exons. NCBI's taxonomy places the organism in Eukaryota, Metazoa, Chordata, Aves, Falconiformes, Falconidae.
CGCCGCCAGCACGGACCCCUUGAAACAGCGGCUGUUGGGGGCGGCAGCGCAGUGGGCAGCCUGUCCCCUGGAGAGCUGGCACCGUGCGUACUGCAGAGCAGGAGUUAUGGGGAAGAGGCUGCAAAGAUACAGAAUCUCUACACCUAUGUUUUGCCAGUCAGGAGGCGAGAGCAAUGCAUUUACCAGUAAAUUUAUGGCAGGCUAUUUGUGGUGCAUGGCACAGGGAGCAUCCCUCUCCCCAAGGAAUGGCAAAGCCUCUGUGAGACACGAAUGCAGACCUGGAUGCGCGUGGGCAGAUGCAAGGAGGGUCACUGGCAGCCCCAUAUGUGCUGUUCUGUACACAAGAGUUUCGAAGAAUUGAGGACACCCGCGUCUAAAAUGCAGGUGACAAAUGGUUUUCACAUGAGGAAUGUUGGUUUGCCAUUAAGGUGUGUAUUUGAUUUGAUUUAAGCAAGAGGUAACUACAUUCAAAAUCACACUACCAAUUGCAGGGCUGUAAUUCAGAGAAUGGAAGCAUUUUCUCUAUUGAAGCUCUGAAAAAUAAAGUAGCAUCA